This is a long non-coding RNA of Mercurialis annua (annual mercury), 991 nucleotides long. RefSeq lists it as uncharacterized. NCBI's taxonomy places the organism in Eukaryota, Viridiplantae, Streptophyta, Magnoliopsida, Malpighiales, Euphorbiaceae. The transcript has 2 exons. The record is from RefSeq and is a predicted model, not a curated record.
UAAUUGACUAAGGCUAGAUUAUAUGUUAAAGGUGGUUUUAAUUGGAAUAAAACGUUGUUUUAACAAUAUUUACAUAUGACUGGAAAUCGUUUGAGUAUAUAAAGGAUGUUUGUUUACCUUGGGUUAUUUGGAUAACAAAUUGUUGUGAUGGCAUUUAAGGUAGAAUUAUUUUACAAUGGUUUUAAAGGCUAUCUAAGUGUACAGUUCAGAUCUGAGUUUAUUAUUUCAAUGUGUUUUGGAGUCAUGUUUAUUUACACUUAAUGUGUUUUAAUUGAGAAAUAUGAACUCCGGGUGGAAUUGUCAAGUGUUGACAGUCUAUUGGUUAUUGUUGCUAUUUGUGGUAUUGGUUUGAAUUUUGGUUAAGCUUAUAGUGAGUUCCUUGUUUUCAAAUACAUUGGUUUCAUUUUAAAGGAUUUAACUUUGGAUUUUACUCUGGUUGGGUCGGGUUAGACUUGUGUCGCCCGACAUGUUGUGUUAAGCAUAUAGUUGAUAUAUGGCUAACACACUACUCUGAGAUAUGUUGGAUUUCGAAAAGGUGUUGUUGAAUUAUAUUACUCUGGAUUGUUUUUUUGAAAACGAGAACUCACCUAAACUUAACUAGUUAUUGUAUUGGUUGGAUAUGUAUGUACUUUGGCUUUGGGAUUACUGUGUUUCGAAUCUUGAUCUUUGGUUGUGUUAAGAUGCUAGUCCUAUAUGGUGUCUAGUAAUCUUAGAGUUAGGGGUUGUUCAGAUUUUAACAUAUACAUUGUUUUAGACCCGUCGACUGCUCGUGCUUCGGAGUCUACGCAGGGUUAGAUGUUUGCCAAGAUUUACGUGGAUAAGCAAGCACUUUAUGAUUUGAAAGCUGGUCCACUCCGAUUCUUUUGAUUCUUCGGAGGUUUUUAUGUUAUUUAACUAGUUACUGUUUUCGAACUCUUAGACCGCAGUAGAACUAGUUUAUUUAUUACAUCUGAUAUUACACUUUGGAAUUGUCGAUAUAUUCGAUUAUUUA